ACUACGGAGAGUUUGAUCCUGGCUCAGGAUGAACGCUGGCGGCGUGCUUAACACAUGCAAGUCGAACGAACCUUCGGGUUAGUGGCGGACGGGUGAGUAACGCGUGGGAAUCUGCCCUCAGGAGGGGGAUAACGGUUGGAAACGGCCGCUAAUACCCCAUAUGCCGAGAGGUGAAAUGAAUUUCGCCUGAGGAUGAGCCCGCGUCUGAUUAGCUAGUUGGUGAGGUAAUGGCUCACCAAGGCAUCGAUCAGUAGCUGGUCUGAGAGGAUGAUCAGCCACACUGGGACUGAGACACGGCCCAGACUCCUACGGGAGGCAGCAGUGGGGAAUUUUCCGCAAUGGGCGCAAGCCUGACGGAGCAACGCCGCGUGAGGGAUGAAGGCCUCUGGGCUGUAAACCUCUUUUCUCAAGGAAGAAGAUCUGACGGUACUUGAGGAAUAAGCCACGGCUAAUUCCGUGCCAGCAGCCGCGGUAAUACGGGAGUGGCAAGCGUUAUCCGGAAUUAUUGGGCGUAAAGCGUCCGCAGGCGGCUUUUCAAGUCUGCUGUUAAAGCGUGGAGCUUAACUCCAUCAAGGCAGUGGAAACUGAUUGGCUUGAGUGUGGUAGGGGCAGAGGGAAUUCCCGGUGUAGCGGUGAAAUGCGUAGAUAUCGGGAAGAACACCAGUGGCGAAGGCGCUCUGCUGGGCCAUAACUGACGCUCAUGGACGAAAGCCAGGGGAGCGAAAGGGAUUAGAUACCCCUGUAGUCCUGGCCGUAAACGAUGAACACUAGGUGUCGGGGGAAUCGACCCCCUCGGUGUCGUAGCCAACGCGUUAAGUGUUCCGCCUGGGGAGUACGCACGCAAGUGUGAAACUCAAAGGAAUUGACGGGGGCCCGCACAAGCGGUGGAGUAUGUGGUUUAAUUCGAUGCAACGCGAAGAACCUUACCAGGGUUUGACAUCCUGCGAACCUCUAAGAAAUUAGAGGGUGCCUUUGGGAACGCAGUGACAGGUGGUGCAUGGCUGUCGUCAGCUCGUGUCGUGAGAUGUUGGGUUAAGUCCCGCAACGAGCGCAACCCACGUUUUUAGUUGCCAGCAUUCAGUUGGGCACUCUAGAGAGACCGCCGGUGAUAAACCGGAGGAAGGUGUGGAUGACGUCAAGUCAUCAUGCCCCUUACAUCCUGGGCUACACACGUACUACAAUGCUACGGACAAAGGGCAGCGAACUCGCGAGGGCAAGCAAAUCCCAUAAACCGUGGCUCAGUUCAGAUCGUAGGCUGCAACUCGCCUACGUGAAGAAGGAAUCGCUAGUAAUCGCAGGUCAGCAUACUGCGGUGAAUACGUUCCCGGGCCUUGUACACACCGCCCGUCACACCAUGGAAGUUGGCCACGCCCGAAGUCGUUACUCCAACCCUUGUGGAGGAGGACGCCGAAGGUGGGGCUGAUGACUGGGGUGAAGUCGUAACAAGGUAGCCGUACCGGAAGGUGCGGCUGGAUCACCUCCUAA
This is a ribosomal RNA of Prochlorococcus marinus, 1485 nucleotides long. It matches the Rfam family "Bacterial small subunit ribosomal RNA". Lineage: Bacteria; Bacillati; Cyanobacteriota; Cyanophyceae; Synechococcales; Prochlorococcaceae. The record is from Rfam.